RNAcentral lists this transfer RNA (76 nucleotides) under Actinomycetota bacterium. RNAcentral describes it as "tRNA-Glu". It matches the Rfam family "tRNA". From Rfam's summary of the family: Transfer RNA (tRNA) molecules are approximately 80 nucleotides in length. Their secondary structure includes four short double-helical elements and three loops (D, anti-codon, and T loops). The record is from RNAcentral. Lineage: Bacteria; Bacillati; Actinomycetota.
GCCCCCAUCGUCUAGUGGCCAAGGACGCCGCCCCCUCAGGGCGGAAACGGAGAUUCGAAUUCUUCUGGGGGCACCA